UUAGCUGAGGAUAUGCCAUCUUCCAAGAUUAUUGAUGAGGUAAUCUUUGCUUCACUUUUAUUUCCAUCUUGUUCGUUGUAGUGAGAAUCUUCAGUAUUGGCAAUUUUUUUUGCAAGAUGCUGAUAAGAUUGUGCGUUCCAUCCAAGACUUGUUCGCUUCCUGGGGGCAAGUCAAGACAUCUCGCCCUGCUCCAUCUGGUCGUCCUGCUACUUCUUCAGAGGAAGAUAUGAAGUUCCUCAAGCAGUCGAUAUUUGAGUACGUGUCCUUCAUGGAUAUGGACAUUGGUAAGGCUAGUGCUGCCAGACAUAAGGAUAAGCUUAAGCAUUUGAAUGCGAAGUUAGAGCAAGCACUGACACUUCCAUCGCUCAAUCUUUCUGCUGAUUUUAAAGCGACGUUGAAAGUUAUCCAUUCCGAG
This 415-nucleotide long non-coding RNA is filed under the name Olea europaea (common olive). RNAcentral describes it as "long non-coding RNA (OEUR_LNC000968)". Lineage: Eukaryota; Viridiplantae; Streptophyta; Magnoliopsida; Lamiales; Oleaceae. The record is from RNAcentral.